GCGUCACACGUGGAUGUUAUGGUGUUGCUGUGGAAAUACUUAUUUAUCCUUGCAGCAUUGUACUUUUUCAACGCUUCCUGCUUAUUUUCAAAGUUGUGGCGGUAUAUUUUUAAUGUCUCAGAAUGUUUUGAAUGUGUUGGUAAACGGCGUGUUUGGUGUGGAGGAGAAUGUAAUUUAAAUAGCUGCAAUAAACAGUAAUGUGACUAACAUUAGGUUGAGCCAGAGCUGCUAUAACUUCCUCAAGUUGAUCUUCUGCAGUUGUUGUAUGAUCGUUUGAAGUAAUUAGACAAUACAUUUAUGACACACAUCUGCAUUUGUCGUUUUGUCUCAGAUCAAAUCAUGGUUGUAAAGAAGAAAGCACCUAAAGUGUAGGCUGUCGCAUUGAAUGAUGUCAAGCUGGAGAUCCUGACAUAGACCUCUGCUGGCCUCCAGAAAGUCCUGCAGGAGAUUCAACCUCGCUACACAAAUGACUUUUUCCACUAGAGCCAGAGAGCUGGACCUCAGUGAAAGCAAGCCGAGACCGUGAACAGAAAGAGCCAGAGAAUGCAGUUUAUAAACCACAAUCCUGUAAUAGCGGUAAAAGCACAAUUGCCCAUUAGUAUUUUAUUAAUUGUAAUAAAGUUUCCACCACCUCAUUGUCCUUUACCGUAGUAUCUGUCUCAAGAUUUCACACAUUCAGGCACAUCAUCAAUACUUUAGCAUGAUGUCUUUAGUAAUUGCACUCAUAUUCUAAACCUUACACUUUUAGUGGACCCAGAAUUGAUCUGAAAGGAUUGCUGGUGUUGCUGUAAUACAUGUUCUGUCCAUGAGAGGCCGACAUUUGAUCAGUGUUUUCCGAGUGUUGCUUUGGGAGUGUGUGUUUAUGUUGUCUAGAUGGCCGUGAUGGACAGGCCAA
Long non-coding RNA from Carassius carassius (crucian carp), 895 nucleotides. RefSeq lists it as uncharacterized. Lineage: Eukaryota; Metazoa; Chordata; Actinopteri; Cypriniformes; Cyprinidae. The record is from RefSeq and is a predicted model, not a curated record. The transcript has 3 exons.